This 440-nucleotide ribosomal RNA is filed under the name uncultured bacterium. RNAcentral describes it as "partial 16S ribosomal RNA". It matches the Rfam family "Bacterial small subunit ribosomal RNA", at positions 338 to 795 of the family's 1533-position model. The record is from RNAcentral.
CCUACGGGCGGCAGCAGUGGGGAAUAUUGCACAAUGGGGGAAACCCUGAUGCAGCGACGCAGCGUGAGUGAAGAAGUAUCUCGGUACGUAAAGCUCUAUCAGCAGGGAAGUAAAUGACGGUACCUGACUAAGAAGCCCCGGCUAACUACGUGCCAGCAGCCGCGGUAAUACGGAGGGGGCAAGCGUUAUCCGGAUUUACUGGGUGUAAAGGGAGCGUAGACGGCAGCACAAGUCUGGAGUGAAAUCCCGGGGCUUAACCCCGGAACUGCUUUGGAAACUGGGCGGCUGGAGUGCAGGAGGGGUAGGCGGAAUUCCUAGUGUAGCGGUGAAAUGCGUAGAUAUUAGGAGGAACACCGAUGGCGAAGGCAGCUUACUGGACUGUAACUGACGUUGAGGCUCGAAAGCGUGGGGAGCAAACAGGAUUAGAUACCCUUGUAGUC